CGUAGGGUGCGAGCGUUAAUCGGAAUUACUGGGCGUAAAGCGUGCGCAGGCGGUUUUGUAAGACAGGUGUGAAAUCCCCGGGCUCAACCUGGGACCUGCAUUUGUGACUGCAAGGCUAGAGUACGGUAGAGGGGGAUGGAAUUCCGCGUGUAGCAGUGAAAUGCGUAGAUAUGCGGAGGAACACCGAUGGCGAAGGCAAUCCCCUGGACCUGUACUGACGCUCAUGCACGAAAGCGUGGGGAGCAAACAGGAUUAGAUACCCUGGUAGUCCACGCCCUAAACGAUGUCAACUGGUUGUUGGGUCUUUACUGACUCAGUAACGAAGCUAACGCGUGAAGUUGACCGCCUGGGGAGUACGGCCGCAAGGUUG
Molecule: ribosomal RNA, 370 nt
Filed under: uncultured organism
Description: bacterial SSU rRNA
Rfam family: Bacterial small subunit ribosomal RNA
Source: RNAcentral